UUCAUUCAAUUCUAUUUCAAUGGAAAUGGAGCAGAAUUAUUGACACACAAGUGGCACAACGGUGCAGACUGUUAAUGUUAUCUGUGACACUAGUUCUAUAAAUAAACGUCGGACUUCAAUAUUUUACGAUUUUGACAUUUCAUAUAGUCCGACGUUUUAUCGAAAGUAUAAAUUUCCCGGUAGAGCUUUCCGCAAAAGUUCUUGCGGAAGGUUUUACAAGUUCACAGUAGAAGUGACUUGAAAGCGAUAGCUAAAUACCAACAACGGACAAAGAAACCUAAUUUAUACAUCCAUUGAACAUACUGUCUUACUGAAGAUAUUGAAGAUCAGUCCGUACUUUGAAAAUGAAAUUUACAUCCAUUCACUUUCACAACACAACACCAACUGUCAAAUCUUCUUUAUUAUAAAGAUUAAUUUUAGACGAAAAAAUAUUAUCACGGUCGGAUUUGGAAAAAAAUGCGGCCCUUUACUAACCUAUAGUCUAUGUAGUAUGCAUAUGUUUAUAAUCGAUGGGUGUAAUCAGCAUUUACUGGCUGUAAUUUUAUUAAAAGUUACUUAAAUUAGUUGUAAAGUCCUAUCAAAGCAGUUUAAAAGGCUAGUACACGUGCGUUCGGCGGUACCCAUGCGUUAAAUAAUGGCCGCAGAUUUUUUACAUGUGUCGUAGGCUAAACGUAUUUGUUUUCGUCUAAGCAUGUGUAAUUGAUUCUAUAUAUUUAUUCGGUGUUGUAUUGUUCGUGAUAUUUCAAUAAAUUAUGCUAGAAGUUUCUGUGAAAUGCGUCGGGGAAGUGAUUGGUGGUGCAGUUUUAGUUACGGUAAACCAAUGUUUCACGUAUUUGAGAGUUUUCCUACAUUACACUUCAAUAAAGUAAAGUUGUAAUCUGUGCUAUGCAAAUGGCUGACAUUCGAUUAAACUUGACACAGGGACAUGUUGAACGUCCAAAUAUUAAAAGACGCCCUGUGCAAGUUUAAUGUUAUUGAACUAUCUGUGACACUCACAGUAGGAAGACAAAAAAUCUACUGACACAGUGAAAGUGUUUACAUUUUGCAUUAUUUUUCUGAUUCAACCUGAUGAAUGGUGUGUACUCAUUGAAUACAUGUACUGUAUAUGAAAUUAAUGAAGCAGUAAUUUGACAAAUACAAGCAAUGAGACAUUGUUCAUUGAUUAAAAUAUGGAAUAUUUUUCUGGUGUCCUUCACAAAUGAGACAAUUUAUCCUUGAGAUAUAAAAGAAUGCUUCAAGGUCAACAGAAUAUGACUGAAAUUAUAAAGGCUUGUAAUGUAGUUUCUUAUUAUCAUUAUUAUAAUAUUGACAUGUUGUAAUGUCUUGCACUAAUCAGUGUUUGUUUUGUAUUAUAUUUCAGAUAUAAUAGUAUGAAUAUAGAGAUGAUUAUUUAGUUACCUUCAACUGGUCAGUGGUCAAAAGGGAGUAUGUCUGUGUGUCUUGAAGCAUUGAAUGCCCCCAAAACAACCAGUAUGAUAAGAAGGUGUACAAUCUGGGUUGAAAACAGCCAUGGUCAAUGAAUUUGGAGGUGCAUGCUGGAGCAUCAGAAAUUACAUACUUGGAAUAAAUAAUUGCACAAUACACAUUUACUGAGAGGUGACUAAUGUUUAUGUUAAAGUGCAAUAUCCAUGUUUGUAACAUUUACAUGGGGGUAAUAGUUACAGUGUUGAAAGAGACUACCAGUGUUACAUUUCAAACUAAGUUACAGUGUGGAUGCUAAUUCUAAAUUUUUGAUAAUUAAGUGUUUUUAAUAACUUAUGAAUACUAAUUAUUUAUCAAACUGUUUAAUUUAUCACAUUCCUACAUCAUUUUUUAUAUAAAAUGCUUGUAGUUAUAUAAUAUAUGUCAGGUUAAAUGGUAAUAAAUUUUGUUUCUGUGUAAAUAUCUUGCUUUUUGAAAAAUGAAAAUGAUACAUUCAGUGGCCAUCAUCUGUCAAAACUUUAUUAUAAAUGCAACAAAACUGAUGAAAAGAUAGGCAGUUACUUUUCACAAGUUCAUGGAAUAGCAGAAUAUACAUAACAUUGUAUAGUUUUCCUAACUUGUAUCUGGGGCCAUCAUAAAAUUAAUUGCUAGAUUAAAUUUUCUUCACAAGAUUUCAGAUCAGAUAUUUUAUUUUUGCUUUAAUGAGGUUUUAAAGAGAAAAAAUGACAUAAUUAUAAUAGUUAUUUUUGUCAAAUGGAUUUGAUUAAAAGCAAUAAUAACUGAAAGUUAAUAAUUUAUAACAUUCUUUAUAGAAAUAUUCCAUGGAUGAUCUUUGAAACUAAAAAUAUUAAGGAGAUGC
Molecule: long non-coding RNA, 2281 nt
Organism: Mercenaria mercenaria
Lineage: Eukaryota; Metazoa; Mollusca; Bivalvia; Venerida; Veneridae
Exons: 3
Source: RefSeq, a predicted model, not a curated record